RNAcentral lists this ribosomal RNA (497 nucleotides) under uncultured bacterium. Its description in RNAcentral is "partial 16S ribosomal RNA". It matches the Rfam family "Bacterial small subunit ribosomal RNA", at positions 28 to 507 of the family's 1533-position model. The record is from RNAcentral.
GAUGAACGCUGGCGGCGUGCCUAAUACAUGCAAGUCGAGCGAACAGAUGAGGAGCUUGCUCCUCUGACGUUAGCGGCGGACGGGUGAGUAACACGUGGAUAACCUACCUAUAAGACUCGGAUAACUUCGGGAAACCGGAGCUAAUACCGGAUCAUAUAUUGAACCGCAUGGUUCAAUAGUGAAAGACGGUUUUGCUGUCACUUAUAGUUGGAUCCGCGCCGCAUCAGCUAGUUGGUAAGGUAACGGCUUACCAAGGCAACGAUGCGUAGCCGACCUGAGAGGGUGAUCGGCCACACUGGAACUGAGACACGGUCCAGACUCCUACGGGAGGCAGCAGUAGGGAAUCUUCCGCAAUGAGCGAAAGCCUGACGGAGAACCGCCGCGUGAGUAAUGAAGGUCUUGGGAUCGUAAAACUCUGUUAGUAGGGAAGAACAACUGUGAAAGUAACUAUGCACGUCUUGACGGUACCUAAUCAGAAAGCCACGGCUAACUACGUG